RNAcentral lists this transfer RNA (58 nucleotides) under Clostridium sp. CAG:169. It matches the Rfam family "tRNA", at positions 8 to 63 of the family's 71-position model. From Rfam's summary of the family: Transfer RNA (tRNA) molecules are approximately 80 nucleotides in length. Lineage: Bacteria; Bacillati; Bacillota; Clostridia; Eubacteriales; Clostridiaceae. The record is from Rfam by way of RNAcentral.
UAGCUCAGUUGGUAGAGCAGCUGAUUUGUAAUCAGCAGGUCGGGGGUUCGAGUCCGUC